This 450-nucleotide ribosomal RNA is filed under the name uncultured bacterium. Its description in RNAcentral is "partial 16S ribosomal RNA". It matches the Rfam family "Bacterial small subunit ribosomal RNA", at positions 354 to 796 of the family's 1533-position model. The record is from RNAcentral.
GUGGGGAAUCUUCCGCAAUGGACGAAAGUCUGACGGAGCAACGCCGCGUGAGUGAAGAAGGUUUUCGGAUCGUAAAGCUCUUUCGUUAGGGACGAACGUGCUCUUUGUGAAUAAUGAGGAGUAAUGACGGUACCUAAAUAAGAAGCCACGGCUAACUACGUGCCAGCAGCCGCGGUAAUACGUAGGUGGCAAGCGUUGUCCGGAAUUAUUGGGCGUAAAGCGCGCGCAGGCGGGAUAUCAAGUCUGUCUUAAAAGUGCGAGGCUCAACCUCGUGAGGGGACAGAAACUGGUAUUCUUGAGUGUCGGAGAGGAAAGUGGAAUUCCAAGUGUAGCGGUGAAAUGCGUAGAGAUUUGGAAGAACACCAGUGGCGAAGGCGACUUUCUGGACGAUGUCUGACGCUGAGGCGCGAAAGCUAGGGGAGCAAACGGGAUUAGAUACCCCUGUAGUCC